Triticum urartu is the source of this 3498-nucleotide non-coding RNA. The record is from RefSeq and is a predicted model, not a curated record. Lineage: Eukaryota; Viridiplantae; Streptophyta; Magnoliopsida; Poales; Poaceae.
UUUCCGAUGUGAUUUGCUCAUGAUACAGAAACGCAUAAUCCUUUCGGGCUCCGAAUAUGUUCGUGCUUUUGCCUGCGAGGGCUGUCAAUUGCGCAACUGCUGGUGUCAAAUUGUAAGAUGCACGAUCCUGUCAUACAUUCUGUAACCUGUCGAUGGUUACUCAGAGGGCAUCAUGCAACAACUGUUAGAUGGAGUUGGUUUCUUGAUCAGUAACCACGAGCUGAUAUUUUCACAGCAAGUAAAAGAAUUAACGCAUCAUGUUCAUAUCUUUAGGAGGUAGGAGCAACAUUAACACACUUCACAAGAACUAGAUAGACAGUGUACUUGUAGUACCAUAUGCUGCGAUAACGAAUACUGCCAGAUAUUCAGUCUGUUUACACAUUAACAUGACACCUUGUGUUCAGUGGCGUCACUCUUUAUCACAGGAAACUGCAAUGCAUGGUUUUUGUAUUAAAAAUUUGAAUGUCGUAUAAUUCGAAUGCAGAAAUUUACUCAAGGUAUAAAUUCAAGUCAUGUUAACAUCAUCAGUCUGUUAAACAUAACUUACAGAAUGGUACUCUUUUCGUAUCAUGAUGCUCAGGUUCCGUCCACUUGGUGACUUGCUUAGCUUGCCGCGGAACCGUAGUGUAUCUACUUUAUGCUUCUGAUCCAUCAUAAGUUAUUAGCGCAUUCAUGUUACGACACUAACUUGUCAACACCAAGGUGUUAAUCUUGCUUCAGAUCUUGGAUGAGUUACUGGGGCUGUUCAGGCCAUGACUCCAAAUUGCAAUUGCUAUCUUGAGGACGGGCAAUCUUGUGUAACUGAAAAGUGCUCUUGCUUGCUAAAGGCACAGGCAUACACAAAUCUUUCAUCGUGCCAUUGUUUGUUCUGCAAGCACCUAGCACUGUAAUCUCAUGGAUCAAGAGUGAAUAUGGGAUGUGGACUGCUUUUCUUGCGCUUGCAGUGCGUUUGUUCUUACCCUUUCCAGGUGACCUAGAGCUUCCGCAGUCAACAAUGCUGGCGGUCAGCGUUGCUCCUUACCAGGUGAUGAAUGUGAGAUGUGCAAAGCAACAAUUAUAUACCCCACUGUGUUGGACCCAAAUACCUUCCGGAAAGAAGUUCUGAAGGGUGGGAUACUAGACAACCAUGUAAUUUCAGCUAUAUCUUUCUGUGUCAAACACAAAGGUUGAAUGUAUGGCUUAGCACUAACUUCAUGUGGGUUUUUCUGCUCAAGUUAUUUCAGUUAUAUUCCUCAGUUAAUACUUCGCAGGAUCUUGAGGAGUUCUUUUGUGUUGUAUUGCUUUGAAGGUGAAUCUCAUUCCUCGGAUUUUGCUCUGUUGUCGUAGCACUUUCAGAUUUGAAGUUAUGUUUCUCAAGUAAGAAGUAGUAUCUUUGUGCUUUUAGCAAUGAGAAUAUUUGAGGAACUACCUAUUACAACAUCAUUUUCUAGGAAAAUUAGAUCAUAACAAGAGACGAUGAAUCAUUUAUUUUCUUUGUUGUGGGUAGGGUCAAAUUUUGAAUUACCAAGCUUUUGUAUGAUUUUGAUUGACCAGGCUUGCUUGCUGCUUGCUUGUCAAUCAAGCUAUGUUGGUCGAUUUUAGAGACAAACUUGUCUUCGAAUAAGACUAUCUAGAAGCAGCAAGGCAAAGACAUCCAUUGCAUUACUAACUGGGAUAAUUUUGACUUGUUAGCUACACCCUUUGGAUGGUCCUAAUUGUAGAAAAUUAUUAUAGACAAUCAACCCUUCAAAUUUCACCAUCAUGAAAGAAUCUAAAUAUAGUAUGUUUUCUUCUCUUACUUUUUUAUUAUACUCUUCUACUCUUAUAAUUCAUCAAAUGCUAACUAUUACCGUCACUUUAAUGCUCGGAACCCCUGGUUGAUAAUUUAUAGUGGGUCAGUUCUGUGUUGAUUUCUCUCAUGAUGAUUGAUGCUUUGUUACAUAGAUAGAAAAAAAAUGAGAAAUCAGAUGGAGAAGGAAUGGCACAACCGUGAAAAAUAAGUCAGAUGCUUGUUGAAAGAUAUAUACUGUGAGUUUCAUAUAUUUUGGUUCUAUAAGGAUUCAAUUUUUUAAGGAGGCCGGAGUGGAGAAGUAGAUGUGACAUAGAGAAACAUGGCUAUGCAGGGGAAACGGGAAAUCACACUUUGACAAAUGUUUCUAUAGUCAUGUGUUAUUCUGUAGCCACUGAGCAAAUGCAUCGACAUACAUGUGUCAGAGACGCUGUAUGCUCUUUGAUUGUUGAUAAUUUUUUGUUUCUCGUGGACCUUGUUUGACUUUUGGAUGUGGUGUGAAUUCUAUGGGCUAAUAUGUCAAGCUUUCGAUGGUUCACUAUGUACGCUUGUUUGGUGAUUCAAUAUUUGUCAGUGUGGUAAUAAGCCACAUACGACACAAAUUCUUCUAUUUUGCCGAACACAUCCUCUUGAAGUACAAGAUAUUUUUAUAACCAUGUCUACAACUCAUGAUCUCUAUGCCUAAAUUUAUUGUUUGGUGCCAUUGUGACCAAUAUCGCUUAAGCUAUACGAGGUUUGAUUGAGAACAUGGAGAUACAUUUUGUCUUACUCGUGAUGAUAAGUAUGUAUGUCAACUAUUUUAUGGCCGAGUGCUUUUAGCAGAGGGCUUGUUAGGGCAAUGAGAGGACGGUUCUGGACCUUCUCCUCAACCAACGUUGACGGAGAGCAAUGAGUUGACUGUGUUUGCUGAUGACGGCGAUAAAACUGGCAAGGUAUAAGGCGAGUUGUGUCCCUGGUAGAGGUGCAGAUCAAGGAGGUCGACAAAUGGGAUGAUGUUGGGUGACGUUCACUAAGGAGGAAAAAGGUGCAGGUCGUUGUUUUUUUUGGCGAUGGCAGCAACAUACUUCCUUGAGUGAAGAAAGGAAUCCCCAGCCUGAAGCUUCGCACAGAUUUUUCCUAUUCUCUGAGAUGGAUGAUGAUGAGCGGUGCAACCGAAAAUUCAGAGCUGGGCUUUACACACUUCAGUGGGAGUGGCAUGACAGCACCAAGGUAGAGACCUGAAGAGAAGCAAAGGGACGGAGCAAGGAAACUAGAACCACGUUGUCGUGAUGUGGGUCGUGUCGUCUUCGUCCAUCUCCAUGGAGAACAACAUGUCAUAAACAUGGAGCUGAGCAUUGUUUCUCCAGAUCCCUUCAAGACAGAGAUGUAGAGAGUGGCUCCAUCACUGAAGAGAGGACAAACAUUGUGCAAGGCAUUUUUGUGCAGCUCCUUUCACAAAUGAAGGAAUUACAAUGCAUCUGACCUGUAAAGGAUUGUGACGGACAAAGUGCAAUGAAUCCACAGGAGUGGGAGGGGAGAGUUUACGAAGAAUGUUUCAAGGACAAAGUGUGACCUGGAUUCCUAAGUUAUACCCAACGUAGCAAAAUUGUAUAGAGAGAAUGCCCGCAUUUUGAAAACUCCAUUACAUAAUUUGAGGCUAUGUUCCUUUCAAUUUUCAGCAUUAUUAAAAAGAUCCUUAUUAUAGCUAAAUUUCCAUGCAUUUAUUUUCAAACAACUCUUGGUUAAAAAUG